Molecule: long non-coding RNA, 3024 nt
Organism: Chinchilla lanigera (long-tailed chinchilla)
Lineage: Eukaryota; Metazoa; Chordata; Mammalia; Rodentia; Chinchillidae
Source: Ensembl
AUGCAGGUCACUCCUCUCCUGACCCGAGUGACCUUCAGGGGCCGCAGCGAAGUGUGCCAGCAGCUCCCGAAACAUGAGGCCCGGAAAGCAUUAUCAGAUGAAGGCAGGGCAGAGGCCAGAGACCCUGGGCCUCAACCCUGGGACCCAGUGGACAGGAAGAGCCCAGUGGACUUCGAGAGGCCACGUCAGGCCAGCUGGGUAGCACUGUCCAGAGAUGGCCUCUCCUGUUGUAUGGACACAUACCUGUGCUCAUAGCUCCAGAGGAUCAACACAAGGGUGGAACUCCUGCGGGGAGCCCCAUGGCUGGACUGGACUCAGUUGUCCGCUAGGACCCGCACCUGAGACGCACUCAUACGUGGGCCCUUACUACCGGCACUUUACCUGACAGUGUUCCCGUGACCUGCUCAUCAGCUGUGAGGACACCAGGGGUGCAACUCUCCCCAAAAUGCCCCUGUUUGAGCACAGUGGGGAUGCCUGCAACCUCCAGAUACGAGCAGAAGAGGACUGCACCUCUGAAUGCACUGAGAACACUUCAGGCCCUGCUUGGCACGUCUGUAGUUCCAGCUACUAGGGAGGCUGAGGGGGGAGGACCACUUGAGCCCAAGAGUUCGAGACCAGCCUCAACAACACAUUGCUAUCCUAUCUCAAAAACCAACAAAGAAAUAAAAACAAAAGCCAAACUUUGAAGGAUCUUGGUACAAUACAGACCCACUGUCAGUCUGGAACAGUUUACGAAAAGCAGGGGACUUAAGUUUAACCCCUCCAGGCAGUGUGAACCAUCACCACCUGCACACCAAGGUUGGAGCCAGCUCCCAGGCUACAGCUGUCAGGGCCUGUGGGACUCCUUGUUAAACAAAAGGAGCAACUGAGGCCUGGAGAAAGGAAGAGGCUUGCCAGUGGUCAGUGCAGAUCCAGUUGUGGAUCUUGGAGUCUGGAACCUGGGUUGUCGAACCAGCUCUGUUUCCCCAUGAUGACAAGUGAGUCCGGCCAUCGCUUUGAUGUCCCAAUCCUGGCCUCUGACAGGAGACAACUGAAAUCCCAGUGUGGGGGUCACAGGGGAGCCAGGCCUUCUGGUACUGCAGGGGCGGCUCCACGGUUAGACUUUCAUUCUCGUGAGGAGAACUGAACGCAGGUUAUGUGUCCAUGCUGGGAGGCUGGUUAAUCAGGUGAGAUUUGGCAGGUGUUAGAGGCUUGAUCGUUAGCCCCUAGGAGCUCCCCCACUUGGCGGGGAAUUUGCUACACAGGAGAAACACGGUGAAUACCUCAGACCAUGCACAGUUCCAGCACGUGGGUAAAAUAACCCAUGCGGUUGCCUACCACUGUGAAGCUCAGAGGGUUAGCGAAGGCUUCCUGGAGGAGGUGGCCUUGACACUGGCACAAAAGAGCAGGCAGGGCUUGAUGGAUGAACGGCUGGAGGCAGGAGAAGGAGCAUCCCCGGCAGCGGGCCUGAGAAAAGGCCCAGGAAGGAGUGGGUGGCCUGCUUCCCUGGCCUGGGGCACAGCUCCUCGGGGCUUGUGUGUGAGUAAAUGAGCUCUUGGGAGAGGCAGGGUGGAGGGUGUGGCCUCACGGGCAGCCUGGGGCCUGGCUUUGUCAGAGGUGGAGAUGAGUCAUAUGCUGAGACAGGCUGUGUGCCCCUGCACCCAGGACCCUGGGACCCGGUAGGCUCAUCCUUAGAGAACGGAGGCAAAAGCCAGGUGAUGACUGGGUCCGAGUGCAGGGAAUUGCAGCGUCAGCUUUGCUGCCCUGGCUGCAAACUGGGGUCCUCCCUGCUCAGGUGAAGACAGGUGGGUGUGGCUGCCCAGCUGAAGAGGCUGCCCCACUGAAGCUCUGCCUGGGUGGCCGUCCUCAUCCUCCCCAGUGCUGUGCUGAGUAGCCUGGAGUUUUUCUUGGAGAGGUCUGGACCAACCUGCUCAUUUUACAGAUGUGGAAACUGGGGCCCAGAGGAAAGCAAGGUUUGUCGCAGGGUUAUAAUGAGCAACCAAGGUCCAGAUUCUGUCCUGUAUGUCUCCUAGAAAACACUGAGGCCCUCAGAAUCUUCUGAACCUCCCCAGCCCUGAAAUCUGACCCAGAUGCCUGCCUGGUGGGUGGCACUAAGGAUGUCCCAUUUGCCGUGGCAGUGGCAUCAGGGAUUAGACCCUGGGCUUACCCCCCCCCCAGAUAUUCAUCCCACUCCGGCAAGAGAAAAUGAGGACAAAUAAAAGAGAGAAAUUCUCCCCUCAGACGAGCAUUAGAUAUCUGAAUGGCUUUCGAAUAAAUAAAAAGUCUCCUCAGAGCCCCUGGCCAGCACUGACAGCAGCUCUAACUCUUCCCAAGACGUGUUUUUCUACCUCCAGGUGGAAGAGGAGGGUGUCAGCGGUGGGCUAAGUCAGGCUCUGACGGAGGCAGCCCUCCAUCACUGCCUAAUGUCCCAUCAGCGUCUGUGGAAUGGCCACGGCAAAUUGCCUCCUCUGAUAGCCACCCUUCCACCCCUCUGGGCCCGUCAGAGGAGGGUGAGGGGCAGGCACUGGCCUCCCCCACCAAGGGUGGGAAGAGCUUCCCUGAAGUUCGCUGCCCGGCCCUGUCCUCUGCCCUCAGUAAUUCUGGAGACAACCAGUCCGUAAUUUGUUCAUUUUUGCCCAGCAAAGAAGAAAGGCAGAGAGGGUGAUGACCUGGCCAGUGAAACCAGCAGUCCAGGGACGCAAGUCCUGAAUGAGCCCGGUGCGUCAGGAAUGAGGGGCCCAUUUCCCAAGAAGGGCUCUCAGGAGCACAUGUUACACCAGUGCCCUUCCCCUGGGCAACACAGGCGGCACGCGAGUGACUGCUCUAAGUACUGGGCAUGAGGUGGCAGGAGAGAGGAAGGCUGGUCCCAAGGAAGUGCCCUCUCCAGUGACAGAUGGGGGAGAGGCCCUCAGAAAAGUCUUUAAAACUUCUGCUAGAAGCAUCUCUUGGCUUGGGGCUGGGGAUUCAGCUCAGCGGCGCAGCGCCUGCCUGGCAAGCGCAAGGUCGUGAGUUUGAUUCCUGGUACCGGAAGAAAAACAAAAAAAC